UUGCAGCUCCCCCAUUCCCAACCCAUCCCAGCUAACCUUCCCAGGUCCUGGCAGCUCACAGGUCCUUGAAGGUCAUAGACCCAUGUACUCAAUAGGGUUGGGUUGGGAAGGUCCUGGCAGCUCACAGACCCAUAGACUCAAUAGGGUUGGGUUGGGAAGGUCCUGGCAGCUUAUAGUGACCCAUAGACUCUAUAGGGUUGGGUUGGGUUGGGAAGGUCCUGGCAGUUCACAGACCUAUUGACUCUAUCGGGUUGGGUUGGAAAGGUCCUGGCAGCUCACAGUAAGGUCCUUUCAGUUUCUGGGGAUAUAGUUUCAAUAGAGUUGGGUUGGAAAGGUCCUGGCAGCUCAUAGUGACCCAUAGACUCAAUAGGGUUGGAAAGGUCCUGGCAGCUCACAGGUCCUUGCAGGUCAUAGACCUGCAGCCCCUAUUGGGUUGUGUUGGGAAGGUCCUGGCAGCUCAUAGACCCAUAGACUCUAUAGGGUUGGGUUGGGAAGGUCCUGGCAGCUCACAGACCCAUAGACUCAAUAGGGUUGGGUUGGAAAGGUCCUGGCAGCUCACAGACGGGUCCUUGCAGCUCAUAGACCUAUAGACUCAAUAGGGUUGGGUUGGAUUGGGUUGGGUUGGGAAGGUCCUGGCAGCUCACAAUGAGGUCCUGGCAGCUCAUAGACCCAUAGACUCAAUAGGGUUGGGUU
This is a non-coding RNA of Coturnix japonica (Japanese quail), 693 nucleotides long. Lineage: Eukaryota; Metazoa; Chordata; Aves; Galliformes; Phasianidae. The record is from RefSeq and is a predicted model, not a curated record.